This 45-nucleotide non-coding RNA is filed under the name Schistosoma mansoni. The record is from RNAcentral. Lineage: Eukaryota; Metazoa; Platyhelminthes; Trematoda; Strigeidida; Schistosomatidae.
AUCUAGUUGACGAGUUCCAAAUAGGACGAAAUGCGCUCCCUGGAU